RNAcentral lists this ribosomal RNA (369 nucleotides) under Triticum aestivum (bread wheat). RNAcentral's name for it is "partial small subunit ribosomal RNA". The record is from RNAcentral. Lineage: Eukaryota; Viridiplantae; Streptophyta; Magnoliopsida; Poales; Poaceae.
AUGCGCAGCUGUGGUCAAGCUGCCUGCAGGUGUCUUCCCCAGAAAUGGCAUGUUCCCCGAUACGCACAACGUCCGGCCACUGCAACGCCUCCCUGCCUCGCAGUCAAGCUCCUCGGGUACACCAUAGGUGCUGUCAAUCUCCUAAUUCCUUUUUCAGGAUCUGAAUCUCCUAAAUUUUUUUCUUUAACCAUUGAUCAUGGAGGAUUCCAGUCUACAGAGGACAGAGAUUUUGGCGGGCUACUAAUCUGCACCUUGGAGAGGUUAACUUUAGAAACUGAAUGUUCAAGAAACCACUUUUAUGACCUCAUGGCUCAUUCCCUUGUUCAUGAACAUGAUGGUCUACAAAAUUUUAGCCAGCAGUGUACAUAG